AAUGAACGCUGGCGGCGUGGUUAAGACAUGCAAGUCGAACGGGAUAUUAGGUGUAGCAAUACAUCUGAUGUUCAGUGGCGAACGGGUGCGUAACACGUGAACAAUCUACCUUUAAGUGUGGAAUAGCUCGCCGAAAGGCGAAUUAAUACGCAUGUGGUGGCCUCUCUCCUGAGAGACCUACUAAAGUCGGGGACCGCAAGGCCUGACGCUUGAAGAGGAGUUCGCGGCCUAUCAG
This 235-nucleotide ribosomal RNA is filed under the name uncultured bacterium. Its description in RNAcentral is "partial 16S ribosomal RNA". It matches the Rfam family "Bacterial small subunit ribosomal RNA", at positions 29 to 244 of the family's 1533-position model. The record is from RNAcentral.